This 927-nucleotide small RNA is filed under the name Pan troglodytes (chimpanzee). RNAcentral's name for it is "retained intron". Lineage: Eukaryota; Metazoa; Chordata; Mammalia; Primates; Hominidae. The record is from RNAcentral.
CCAACAGGUUCUAUUUUAGGUAUGGUAUGAUAUAAUCAUAAUUUAUCUCACCUAUAUAGUUCACAAAAUAGUAGCAUCUUGACAGUUUAAUAAAGGCUUUUGAAAUAUUGGUAUAAAGUGAACGACAGAACUUUAAUUUGCUCAGAUCUAAAGAAAUUGAAUUGGUUUCUGCUUGUGAUUAUGAAUCAAUAGGUUAUAUUAAUGGAUCUUAGGGAGAAAAUUAGAGCUCACUUUAAAUAUAAACUUAUAAUAGUAAUAAUUGCCUGUUGUUUAUUUUUCCACAGUUCUUAGUGGUCUGUGUUCUAAUGACUGUCCUCGUAAGAUAACACCCUUUGGAGUGAAUCAACCUGGACCUUAUAUCAUGUAUACAACUGUAGAUGCAAAUGGGUAUCUGAAAAAUGGAUCAGCUGGCCAACUCAGCCAAUCCGCACAUUUAGCUCUCCAACUACCAUACAACGUGCUUGGUUUAGGUCGGAGCGCAAAUUUUCUUGACCAUCUCUAUGUUGGUAUUCCCCGUCCAUCUGGAGAAAAAUCUAUACGAAAACAAGAGUGGACUGCAAUCAUUCCAAAUUCCCAGCUAAUUGUCAUUCCAUACCCUCACAAUGUCCCUCGAAGUUGGAGUGCCAAACUGUAUCUUACACCAAGUAAUAUUGUUCUGCUUACUGCUAUAGCUCUCAUCGGUGUCUGUGUUUUCAUCUUGGCAAUAAUUGGCAUUUUACAUUGGCAGGAAAAGAAAGCAGAUGAUAGAGAAAAACGACAAGAAGCCCACCGGUUUCAUUUUGAUGCUAUGUGACUUGCCUUUAAUAUUACAUAAUGGAAUGGCUGUUCACUUGAUUAGUUGAAACACAAAUUCUGGCUUGAAAAAAUAGGGGAGAUUAAAUACUAUUUAUAAAUGAUGUAUCCCAUGGUAAUUAUUGGAAAGUAUUC